RNAcentral lists this ribosomal RNA (254 nucleotides) under uncultured bacterium. RNAcentral's name for it is "partial 16S ribosomal RNA". It matches the Rfam family "Bacterial small subunit ribosomal RNA", at positions 524 to 776 of the family's 1533-position model. The record is from RNAcentral.
GACGAACCGUGCGAACGUUAUUCGGAAUCAUUGGGCUUAAAGCGCGUGUAGGCGGAUUCGUGCGUCUGUCGCUGAAAUCCCCCAGCUCAACCGGGGAACGGGCGCGGAUACGACGAGUCUGGAGGGGCAUAGGGGGACCUGGAACUUCCGGUGGAGCGGUGAAAUGCGUUGAGAUCGGAAGGAACGCCCGUGGCGAAAGCGGCCGACUGGACCACACCUGACGCUGAGGCGCGAAGGCCAGGGGAGCGAACGGG